RNAcentral lists this small RNA (16 nucleotides) under Arabidopsis thaliana (thale cress). RNAcentral describes it as "ATSL114440". Lineage: Eukaryota; Viridiplantae; Streptophyta; Magnoliopsida; Brassicales; Brassicaceae. The record is from RNAcentral.
CAAUGAUCCUUCCUCU